Molecule: ribosomal RNA, 482 nt
Filed under: uncultured Sphingobacteriales bacterium
Lineage: Bacteria; Pseudomonadati; Bacteroidota; Sphingobacteriia; Sphingobacteriales
Description: bacterial SSU rRNA
Rfam family: Bacterial small subunit ribosomal RNA
Source: RNAcentral
GAUGAACGCUAGCGGCAGGCCUAAUACAUGCAAGUCGAGGGUGAAGUUUUGUGCUUGCACGAAAUGGAAACCGGCGAACGGGUGCGUAACACGUAUGCAACCUACCUAUAACUAAGGGAUAGCCCAGAGAAAUUUGGAUUAAUACCUUAUAAUAUUCAUCAUUCGCAUGUUUGAUGAAUUAAAGCUCCGGCGGUUAUAGAUGGGCAUGCGGCCCAUUAGCUAGUUGGUGAGGUAAUGGCUCACCAAGGCAACGAUGGGUAGGGGGUCUGAGAGGAUGAUCCCCCACACUGGUACUGAGACACGGACCAGACUCCUACGGGAGGCAGCAGUAGGGAAUAUUGGUCAAUGGACGCAAGUCUGAACCAGCCAUGCCGCGUGCAGGAUGACUGCCCUAUGGGUUGUAAACUGCUUUUAUAUAGGAAGAAACCUUCAUACGUGUAUGAAGUUGACGGUACUAUACGAAUAAGGACCGGCUAACUCCG